Molecule: long non-coding RNA, 384 nt
Filed under: Heterocephalus glaber (naked mole-rat)
Lineage: Eukaryota; Metazoa; Chordata; Mammalia; Rodentia; Bathyergidae
Description: lncRNA (ENSHGLG00100035878.1)
Source: RNAcentral
CCCUCCCUCACCUGUAGGUGCCUGCAGAUGCGCCUCCCAGCGCACAGGGUCAGGUAGGGGCUUGUACACUGGCUGGCUGUAGGACUCGUUGUAGCGGAGUGGGACCACCACCGUCUGCUUGGAGCAGACCCCCUGUCUGCAUCCAGAUCGGGAGAGCAGCCUCACCAAGCACCUGGAGCCUUCACAUCUUUUUCUGAGACAAGACCCACAGCAUCACGAGCUCGCUGGAUGAGCACCAGUCAGAGGCCAUCUCCCAGCUCACAGACCCAAGGCUCGGAGUCCACCCCGCACUCCCCCACUGGCAUUUUCUCCCCACCUGGCUUCCCCUCUCUCCGGGAGACUUCAGGCGGCCCAGCCUCAGCAGCGGCGGCUCAGACUGGAGGG